Molecule: long non-coding RNA, 1197 nt
Organism: Corticium candelabrum
Lineage: Eukaryota; Metazoa; Porifera; Homoscleromorpha; Homosclerophorida; Plakinidae
Exons: 5
Source: RefSeq, a predicted model, not a curated record
ACUGGGCAUUGCAGCACUGAUGGUAGUUUGCGUGAUUUUUGUGAUGGGUCCUUGUUCAAGGAGCAAGAGUUCUUCAGGCAACACCCAACUGCUCUACAAAUAUUUCAUUAUUGUGACGAUUUGGAAAUAUGCAAUCCGCUAGGUUCAAAUGUCAAAAAGUGCAAACUAGGAGCUUUCUACUAUGUGUUAGGCAACAUUGAACCUAAGCAUAGAUCUUCUCUGAGAGUCAUCCAGCUUGUGACCUUAGUUAAUUAGAACUAAACUGGUUGAUGAAUAUGGUGUAGAUGAAAUGCUUAAGCCAUUUGUUGAGUCGAUACUGCAACUCAAACAGGGAGUUUCAUUUACUGUUGGAAGCAGGCAGGAAGCAGUGACACUGUUUGGUACUCUGGCUCUGGUCUGUGCUGACAACCUAGUGGCUCACUCCCUGGCAGGCUACAAAAGUCUUCAUGCAGCAGUCAGAAGAUGUCGCUUUUGCUUGGCUACAAAGGACGACAUGAUAACAAAGAGUUGGACCACUACAACACGUUUGGUGCACGCACUUUGAGGCCAAGCACAAGUAGUUCAAGACUUUGGCUGGUGUUAUCAACAACUUUAUAAACAUUUCCAAAUUAUUAGCCUUUCCUCACCAGCUUCAAUUGUGCUUCCAGCUUUCAGAUAUUUUCCUUAUUAAUAAGGAACCAGAAUUUGGAUCCAUAUCUACUGUUCUACUUAAACAAUUUGAACAUAAAGAACUCUUGAAAUUGCAUGGGCCAAGUCUUGAUGAUCAACUGCCUGUCAACAAGUUAUAGGUCUUCUCCCAGAUGUUGCAAAACUUUGUCUUACAUGUUGUCGACCGUCUACCUUUAGAGCAGUGUCGGUGGCCAUAAAUGGCACAAGUUAUCACACAGGAGAUAUUCUGGUUCUUCGAUGUGUUGAUGAUUUUCCUGAAUUUGGUGAAGUCAAAGAAAUAGUGAUUGGCACUGAAAGGGGAGUGGCGUUUAUAGUCUUUGUUCUGCAGACAGAUUCAUAGUGCUUUAACCACCAUUAUCAUAGUUAUGAGGUCAUAGAGUAUGAAGAAUUUAGUUUGGUCAAGCAAGAUUAAUUGCUUGACUUUCACUCUCUUUGUUUGCAUAAUUUGUUGGUAUCUGACAGUGCAGUAAAGUUUGUCCAGCUCAAAUAGAAUAUAAUUCUGUAAAAUUGUGACAUGAGCUGUUUUCU